ACAUAAGUGAGUGUGGGUGGAUGUUAGUUGGACCUGGCUAGCUUGUGCUAGUAGAUCUGAUGUCGUGCUCCUUCCUCAAGUGGAUGUGACCUGGACCUGACUAGGUUGGGUCAAUCGCAUAAGCCAGUAGGCAACUUGGACCUGCCUCGUGCUGCAGUGUUCCUUAUGUUCUUAAUAAACUUACUUACCAAAUAGGCAGGAAGGACAGCCCUGGACAGAAGGCUCAUACAGUCCUCGAGUCGUGUAAACUUUUCAACCCAACAACAUGAUCAGACGUCCUCGAGGAAGUCAACAAGAACCAGGAGGAUCUUUUAUCUCAACAUUCAAGUUAGCUGAGCUAGAAAACUUCUAGGGAAUCCCCUUUUGGAAGUGAAUAUUGUUGAUAAAAAUUACAGGCUUAUUAUUACGUUCAUGAGGAGUUCUAAAUCUGUAGGGGUCAUAUAGUGCCUGGGGGAAUGGGAGACAUUCCCUUUCAGUGCAAGGGAAGCCGAAGUCAAAUUCCUUGGAUCAAGAGCAUCAAGGAACCUCCCUUGAAAGGUUAACUGGGACUCAGAUUGCAGUUGCUACCUUUGUAGGAGUUAUUGGAGGAAUUUAUAUCUGGAAACCACUGCUCAUAAGACUGAGGGAGGAAAAGAAUCAAUCUCUGGACUUGGAAUCUUCUCCACAAACUACACGUGCUGGUGUUGCCAUUAUUGAACAAUCAAAGUAAAAGUAGUGUAACAGUGUCACUAUAUACACUCUGUUCACAUGAACUUUACAAAUUAUCUACAAGCAUACUUAGUCCAAAGAUGGCACUUCAGUUCCCACUCCUCAGUGCUGGUUUAGCCCUUUCUGUUAUUAUUUGUAUUGGGUACAAGUGGGGCAUUAGUCCAGUUUUAGCAAGGCAUAAUCGAAUGAAGCAAGAAGAAUUAGCAAACUUUUUAUAUGACGAAAAAUAUGGGAAACAGGAUCAAGAGAAAGCAAUGUUCCAGUUUUCAUCCACUGAGACAAAGGAUGAUACUGCAAAGUAAAUACAAACAUUCUGCAAGUGCUUUAGGAUGACAGGGAAAGACAUGUGUAUUAUUAUUAUUGUAUUCACAAAAUGCUAAACCUGUUUGGGCCAUUUGGCACCAAGGACAUUUAAUGUACAUAUAGGAGGGGUGUUAAUGUUGCAGUUUAAAAACUGUAGUGUAAAGCACCCUUCUGGCAAGACAGUGAUGGAGUGAAUGAUGGUGAAAGUUUUUCUUUUUCGGGCCACCUUGCCUUGGUGGGAAUCGGCCAGUGUGAUAAUAAAUAAAUAAAAAUACAAAUAAUAUAUGUACACAUCGUUUUGAAGUAUAAAGAAGCAUUUUUGCUUAAUCCCAAAGGCUCACUAGGAAUACAACCACCUCAAACACAGCUGUAUUCACCUCUAAGCAUUACCAGUUAGAAAUGUCUUGCAAUUUUUAGCUGUGUGUGCCACCUUUUUCCAUUUUCUUUUUCUCCACUUCAUACAACCUAGACCUAAUCAGAGGUAGCCAGCAAAUUGGUUGAUCAGUUUAUGACUAGAGUAGAAGAGAUGACAUGGGUAGGUGGUGAGCUCCACUCAUCAUCAGGCUCAGUGCCAAAAGUAAGUUUUUGUCCUUCAUAACCAUUUUUUUUUUAACACAUCGGCCAUUUCCCACCAAGGCAGGGUGACCCGGAAAAGAAGAAACACUUUCAUGAUCAUUCACUCCAUCACUGUCUUGCUAGAGGUGUGCUUAUACUACAGUUGUAAAACUGCAACUUAUCAAUACCUCAACCCUUCAGAGUGCAGGCCCUUAAAACCAUGUACAAUCAAAAUUUCAGAUUUGCAAGGGUUUGGUUUCUAGAUGUAUGUGGAUUUAGACUUCACAAAUAAAAGUACUGUACCAUUAAAUUCUGUUUGUAUAUAUUUUGCUUCAUAUUUGGGUUCAUUUUAUGAGAAUAUUUAUCUUUAAAUAUCACUAAUCUAAUAAUACAGUGGACCCCCGCGUAACGAUCACCUCCCAAUGUGACCAAUUAUGUAAGUGUAUUUAUGCAAGUGCGUUUGUAUGUUUGGAGGUCUGAAAUAGACUAAUCUACUUCACAAUAUUCCUUAUGGGAACAAAUUCGGUCAGUACUGGCACCUGAACAUACUUCUGGAAUGAAAAAAUAUCGUUAACCGGGGGUCCACUGUAAUAGUGAAAUUCACAAGAAGAAUGUUUAAGAGAAAAGAUUUAGGCAUGGGAAAUCCACCAAGCACACACUAAAUGAAAUCAUAUGGUUAUCUUUAAAUUUAUGGGGCACUCACCAAGGCAAUAAAAAAGUAAAGGUCAUUGCCCAGUGACUUGAUCGCUGGCCUGGAGUUCAAUGACUCGCUUGCUGCGAGUUCAGCCUCACCUGUACCAUAGUUUGUUUGCAGUUGUAUUAUUAAAAUUUUGUGAUUCAUGAUGACAGCCUUUAAAAUGUUGGAUAAUCAAAGCACAAGAAUUAGAAAGCUCAUGGAGUUGUGAGUUCAAAACAACUUUUGUAUUUGGGCUCUGAUGACCCACUAGAAACUCUUACAAGAGUGCCCCAAAUAAUGGUACAGGGAUUGUAAAAUGAAAGCGGGGAAUCAAAAUUUCUUAGGAUGAAGAGGCACAAUACCAUGACUGGAACAGUACAUAAAUAACCCACACAUAAGAGAAAAACUUAUGACAGCAUUUCGGUCUGACUUGGAUCGAAACACUCAUUUACCAUGAGUUGGUUACUCUUAAAUUGAAUUCUUGAUAAGUGUUUCUGGCUCAUAUAUGACUGCGUCAGUCACUAGAAGUUGACUGAAGCCAAUCUCUUGCUAGGCAUAAGAACCCUGAUCAUUACAUGCAUACCCAUUUUCCUGAACAACCCAGCAGCUGGUAAGCAGCCUUGCAGUCAUCUAAAACUUUCCCUUUCCCCAUACUUCCCCAUGCAUACAGCAGAGAACCACCAAUGACAGGAUCUGACCUGUAGAGACUUUGCAAAUGCACAACCUGAUUGUAUAGUCAUGGUACUCUUGUUUAUGGUGAUAUAAUAUUCUAUGCCGUAACUCAUGAUGCUUUGCUUGGGCAGGAAUGAUUUUGAAAUUUAAGAGUCCUGAUCAUGCCAGGUUGAGUGCCCUGAGGAUAAGUAUGGACUCCAUUGAAGCCUGCCAUCUAUGUCCCUUUACAGAUCAAGAGAAUAUUGGAGAAGACUGAAAUCCAAAGUACCCAGUUGAAUGCCUAAACAAUCCAAGGAACCACAAUAUAAACAAAGAGAGACUAUAUUGACACUCAGGUUUAAGUCUCUAGGUACUCAUUGGGGUGGGUGUGAUCAGGGACAGGUGAACUUUGACUUGCUCAUUGUCUGAAUUUUCAGUACAAACUGGCAGAAGCUAGAAGGGCCAGGAGCUCAGGAUUUCCUUCUGAGCAACAGAGUCCCUGAGGAAGAUGAGAGCAACCCAAGCCAUCAGACUGCUUCACACAGCCUAUACAGGAAAUAUGAGGGGUUCCAACUUGAAUGCUCAUUAAGUAGUUUAGAUAUUAAUGUAGACUUAAACAGCUCAAAACCAAGGGAAAUGAAUAAAUUUCACUGCCUUCUUCCCCAACUUUGUCUUGAGGAUGCCAGAUAUGGGACAAGGGAUGCAGAAGUUCACGUCCCCUACUGAGCGACAGUUAAAUGGCACUUAAGACGUGUCAUGACACCCUUAGAUGAAAGUAAGAAUCUUUCAUUACAUGGUGCCCAUUUCUCAUCAGUGAAAAACAUAUCUGUAAAACAUCACCUAUAGGCACAGCACAUCAUAACAAUGACAGUUAUCCAUCCUAAGCCCCAGAAAAAAAAAAUAUAUAUUACCUACAAUUGUCAAGAUGAGCAAGCAUAGAUGCUGAGAACACAUGAGAAUAGCCUGGGUGGCAAAUUAAUGUAGCUAGCCAAGAGCUAUGCUGAACAAAGAGUAAGUAAGUAGAGGGGUUGACUGUAAUGCUGCUGGUCAGCCAGCUUGAUAGCUAGCUCUGGAUGGGUCCUUUUCAUAGAAUAGUGCAUAACGAGAAGGAAAGAGGCUGUAGAAGUCAUACCAAGUUUAAAAGGUGUAAUUUUGAACUGGCUGUCUUCCUAGUGCAGAGCCGUGUCCAAAUUAUGGAUAAUUUUCAGAAAAAUUCUUUCACAUAUCCAUAGGAAUUUUGAGCAGCAAAAUUAAUAAUAACUUUAUAUAGUACAGUGGUACCUCGAAUUUCAGCCAUAAUUCGUCCCAGAAGGCUGUUCGAGUGCUGUUACCGAACGAAUUUGUUCCCAUAAGGAAUAAUUUAAAUUAGAUUAGUCUGUUUCAGACCCCCAAAAAUACACUUACAAAAGUACUUGCAAAGAUACACUUACAUAAUUGUUCAAGUUGGGAGCUGUUCGAAAUUUGAGGUACCACUGUAUUGUGAUUACUGUAAUUAUUAUAUUAUACAGUACUGUAUAUCAUGAUUAAUAAAUACUUCAUUAUUAUUGUUUAAAAUUAUUAGAAAACAAAAUACUUUUGAGGAUUCAGGUAAAUAAAAUUAGAACAGCAGUGAAUGCCACAUGCCAAGAAAAUUUUCUUGAGUCAUCAGAGUUUAAAUGUAGAAUGUGUUUGGAUUACUGUUGUACAUAUGUGUGUGACAGAAUACAGUAUUUAAUAUGUAU
Long non-coding RNA from Cherax quadricarinatus, 4614 nucleotides. RefSeq lists it as uncharacterized. The record is from RefSeq and is a predicted model, not a curated record. Lineage: Eukaryota; Metazoa; Arthropoda; Malacostraca; Decapoda; Parastacidae.